This 31-nucleotide non-coding RNA is filed under the name Mus musculus (house mouse). The record is from RNAcentral. Lineage: Eukaryota; Metazoa; Chordata; Mammalia; Rodentia; Muridae.
UACACAAGAUUAAAGGUCGCUCUUCUAUUAU